GUAAUACGUCAACUUUUUUACACAUUUUGGUAAAAAGGGAUAGUUGCCAAGGCUUCCCAUGAAGCCCAGUAUGGAACUCAUGAAGCCAAUACACGUACAUCACACACCUUUCAUUUUCACAGCUGUACUUCAGGAUUGUAAAAUGGCUUCAAUGAAAAAUCAAAAGCAACAAAAACCCUCAAAGCUGAACGGUCGUCUCUAGCAUCUCAUGGGUUCUGUGGCAGUGUGUAAAGCUAAAGGAAGCCAAACUUCCAGCAGUGAGCUUGUUGUUGGGUCCUGGGUGGUGUGCAGUGCAUGUCCGCUGCUGAGCUAGUGGAGUGUUUGCCUGACUUCUGUGCUGGGCUCUGCUGAUGGACAGCCUGCAUGGCAGCUUGGGGCAGAGCUCGUACAUCAGUUAUAAUCUCUGGCUGUCUAAAACUGCUUAAAAACAAGUCCACAAUGGCUGAUGGCAUCUCUUCCUCCUAGUAACAGGAGGGCUUGGUCCAUGCUGCUUUAGCAAGCUCUUUUUGGGAGAGUGAAGCAGUGGGGAGCAAAUAGAGGCCUAGCCAAGCCUGUCCCUAGGCAGGAGGGGGCCCAGCUCAGGUGUUACAAGCAAAUCUGCCCCAAGGGUGCCCUGCUGCUCUCAUCCUCCAUGCUGCCCUAACGGCACUAACGCGUUUUGGCAGCAAAACUGAAUCUUGGUUUGGUGAGCAAAGCAGGCAUUUUGAAAGCUCCAAAUGGAGGCCUGAGCUGAUAGUAAAUGAAGGCUAUAUGAAGUUUGGGACAUUCAUUCAGCUGCUCAGCGCUUUGUUCAUUGCUUCAUUUUUUUCCUAAGGGUAGUUAUAAAGUGUUCAGUGCAUGGAAGCUGUGCUCACCCAGUGCAGGGUGCAACUCUGCACACACAGAGUUAGGGCAGUGACUGCUGCUUUAUCUGCACAAUGAACUGCAGCAGCUCCAGAAGGGAGGGAUUAGAGAUCUCUGUGGAACACAUUUAUCUGGUGGUCUGGAACAUGGAUUGCAGUAAGGAAAUAAAUUUGUAGCACAUCAAGGCAUAGCCAUUUCAGUGCAUCAGACACAACACAGCUUCCUUCUUUAGACAGUGGUGUUGAGUAUGCAGGAAGGGAAAAUAUUUUCUCUGGGAGGCAGGGCAUGCAGCUGUCAGUGACUUCUCCUCGUGUGCUGAAAGCACAGAACAGAACUGCCCACAGCUGGGCCUGGCAGAGUGCUGUUGGUUUCAGUCUGGCCUUGGUGCUUACAACGCAGUUACAGGACGCAAGCCAGACCCGUGUCUGCUUUAAACUCCUGGAGCAGGAGCUGUGGUUAUGGUGCAGCUCUUCCAUAGCAGUGCUGGGGGGCACCAGGCUUGGUGCUCCUACCCCUGGUAGCCCUGCCCUUCUGUGCCGCUGCAGUGCUGCUUCAGAUGCGCUUCUGCAGAGUCUGCAGCAAUGCUGGAGCCUCUGAAAACGUGCUUGCCUAGUGGUUGAACUGUGAAUAGUUGUGGAAGAGGCGCAAUGCUUUUGCUCUCCAUAUAAUCAGUCUUUAAUGGCCGCAGGACUGGAUCGAGCAGUGAUUGCAGAUCAAGUGCUCAAAACCAUUGGAGCUAUUUAGUUUAUUUCUUAGAGUAUGCAUUAGAAAUCUUGAUGCAUGGAGUGAAUCUGCUGCAACUUGGGAUAACUAUAGAUAACUAUACAGAUCAUUGUAGGAAUCUACUGGGAAUGUGAUCUGACAUCCACACUAUGGCGUUUUAUUGCCUUCACUUAUACACAAAGAAGUGCAACUUGUGCAAACUUUACUCCCCAGUACUAAAGCACUGGGCACUGUGCAGUGUUACUGCAGUGCCUUGACAGCUUGGCUCAGUGGUGCCAGUUCCUCCUGCGGGUGUGAUUUUGGGUUGAAGACUGUUGAUGGAUUGAUUCAAGUGUGGAUUUGAAAAAUUCCACCCAGAGUUGGCCAUCAAACUUGAUGAGUAACUUAAUGGAUACUGAAUGUGGAACUGUGCGUUUAUUUGCUGCUGGUGCUAUUCUUUGUAGAGAAUUAGAACUUUGUAGUACUGUGCAAUGGUAUGGAGAGAACCCAAGGGAAAAGAGAGGAGUGUGGCAGGUGGCAUGGGACCUGCUGGGGCACGAGCUGCUGUGGGUUUGUCCCAACUGUUGCUGUGGCCAUCAGAGCCCCAGGGCUCCACAGAGCGCAGGACAUGUCUCACCUGCUGCUCCUGUGCAUUGACUGCUAACAUGAGCGUCUUCCUUAUGGUUCUAAGCCUUGUUUCCAAAAAAUAACUCCAAACAAACGAGCAGAGUUGAACACCGCAUGGUUAGUGGCUGCCUCGGGUCUGACGCAGCGUGCUGGCUGAGGCUGUGCCAUUCGUAUUCACUGGAAGAGAACAGGCAUUGUGAAGGUCUGGGUCUUGCAGUCCUGUGUUCUGCGACGUGGCCUUUGUGGCAGGAAUCCUUGAUCAGUUGGGUACCUGAUUCUUUUGAGCUCCCUCUGCUUGAAAUGUGUGCACGUGAACUUUUCCUUUCAUAUUGAAAAGGAAGAUGCUUAGCCUGAAACUGAAAAUUGUUCAGUGUUUCAAUAUACAGCAAAACACAAAUUUUGAAGGCUUUUGUUCUUUUCAAGCAAGUAGUAAAAGAUAAGUGUGCUUAUUUCUGUUGUGUGCAGAGACACUGGUGUUAAUUUUUUUUCUCUGGAUUAUCAAAGAUUGUAUCUUUGUUUUUAUAUUCUCAGUUGAAGUGAAAUACAUGAGAUUGUAAGAUGGGAGGCCAUAACUCCUUCACCGUGAAGUACGUAGGUAUCUCUACCUCUUGUUAGACUUGAAUAGUUCAAGUUGACCAUCCUUCUCUCCCAGGCUGUGAUGCUUGGAUAAGUAAUGUACACUUUUUAAUUGACCCCUGUUAAGUGUUACCUAUUUACCUUACUUUUUGGUAUCCUGCUUUUAGUCUGCAUGCAGUCAACCCUUUGGAAGGGAGCAAAGCCAAGCUGGUAAGGGACACGUCAGUCCUCCAGGGAGUGAGUUUUGGAGUGCAGUGGUGAGCGGAGCCGCUCCCUUGUGGCUCAGGGCCUUUCAGCAUCGUGCCUUCUCUUUCCAUUUCAGGCCACAAUAAAUGGGAGACAGAGCAACUGCUCCCCAAGAAGGGACUGUUUGGCCCUUUCAUUUGCCCUUGAAAAGCACCAGGAACCCACCUGAUGCAGUGCUAUGAGCUGUGACAACAAAAAGUGAAGGCUGCAAAAGUGUGAGGGUUGCACAGCUGCUGCUUCCUCCCUGCGCUCGGUGUCUGCUCGGGAUGAACGCCGUAUGCUUAAAGCAGAGUUGAGAGUGCUCGAGCAUGCUGGAGAUGCCGGGAGGUUCUCCUCCUUUUCUGUUCUUAAAAAGCUUCUAUCUUUGCAUAAUUGCACCCUGGAGAUAAAAUCUCUUUCUAGAUGACAUGCAUUUUACACACAGAAAAAACACAUUUGUCUGCAAUGCUCUUGCUUGCAGAUUCUCCUUGGGCUGUGGGUUGGCUGCGGCUGGGACAGCGCACUUGAAUGUUGCCGAUGGAGCUGUCCCUGUGCCACGGGAGUGGCUCUAGUUAAGCUUAGCUAUCUUAAAAAUAUACAUUCUUUCUUAUCUGUAAGUUUAAAUGGUCUCUCAGAAAGAAAAUGGGCCACCAGGAGUGGUGGGAAGGCCUCAUGCUGCGAGUUGUCCAUUAUUCAGAGUUCCAAGAGAGAUGGAUGUGACUGCAGGAUGAGGCUCUCACCUGGCACUGCUGGGCUCCAUCCCGGCCGACCUGGGGCACAAAGUGAGCCCGCAUUGCUGCAGCUGCACGGAGUGGGAGGGAGCACUGACAGAGCCAGCCCGGAGAGCUGCAGCUCACAGCACAGACACUUGUUGUGAAGCUCAGCCCCAGCAUGGCCGCAUCGCCCUAUAUGGAACGAAUGUGUUUUGGUAGUGUAUCUACUCUCGGAGAAGUAAAUAAUUGUAAGGAAACAGUGAAAGCAGCACACCUUUGUGCAGCUUCCACCGAACUGUAUGUGAACACAGCUAGCUUCCAGUCUCCUCAGUAAGCCCUCAAGGGUACUUGGGAUCAAAUCUACCGUUUUCCGUAUCGGGAGUAAUCCUUGCUUUUCGGACUUAUCAGCAGAUACCACUUCUGAUCCACUUUUCUCACCCUGGGAAAUGAUGAAUGUAUUGUCGUGGAGCAGAACCAAGCUUCCUCCUCCAGCCGGCACCAUCACAAGUUGCUGCGGAGUUGUAAUGCUUGAAAUGGCUGCAGAUAAUUCUUUUUCAUGCAGGAUGUCUUUAUCGAGGGAUGUGCCCAAGUGUGAAGCCGUGAUCUGGAGAAGUGGGAAAAGUUUGAGGUGACGCAUCUAUACUGAGUCUCAUCUGCUUUGUUGUUUUACAAAUACUUCUGUUGUUGUUUUGCUCACCAUUACCGUCUGGAACAGAAUGGAAACAGCAUCCCACAGAAUGUGCAAUCUGAGGCACAGUGCACAUAGGUUGUGAUGAGAAGGUUGUUGUUACUUGAUAGCAAUCCUGAGUGCAAUGUUCGGUCCCUUUUGGAAGAAAAGCAUUAAGGUUUUUCUUUACUUACAAGCAAAGCAUCAGUUUGUCCAUUACUGACAUCUUGUGGAGUUUGUGCCAGAUGUAUAUUAAAUAUUUUGGUGCUUUUUCUAAUCCAAGUUGCCAUUCAUUCACCCGUGAGAUUGUUGUACUUUUGUAUAUUAAAGCGUCGACACACCCGUUAAGAAAAAACAGAAAAAAAA
Molecule: long non-coding RNA, 4719 nt
Organism: Gallus gallus (chicken)
Lineage: Eukaryota; Metazoa; Chordata; Aves; Galliformes; Phasianidae
Source: Ensembl